UGAUAGUGUAAAAGUCACCAUGGGACUUAUGUAACAGUUUACCAGGAGUUGGAGCCCAGUUGCAGGAGAUGACACAAGAAGGAGGCAAAAUCCAAAAACAGAGUCCAGAUAAAGGGGUAAUCCAAAGGCAGGGUCAGACGAGAGGCAGAAGUCAGGGCUGGCAGCGGAGUAAUGAAGUCGGUAAAUCAGGCAGAGGUCAGAGUCCAGGAAAUCAGUCAGUAGCAAAGAUCCGAC
This is a non-coding RNA of Pelobates cultripes (western spadefoot toad), 234 nucleotides long. Lineage: Eukaryota; Metazoa; Chordata; Amphibia; Anura; Pelobatidae. The record is from the annotation of a GenBank genome assembly.